AUUGAACGCUGGCGGCAGGCCUAACACAUGCAAGUCGAGCGGUAACAGAAAGAAGCUUGCUUCUUUGCUGAUGAGCGGCGGACGGGUGAGUAAUGCUUGGGAACAUGCCUUGAGGUGGGGGACAACAGUUGGAAACGACUGCUAAUACCGCAUAAUGUCUACGGACCAAAGGGGGCUUCGGCUCUCGCCUUUAGAUUGGCCCAAGUGGGAUUAGCUAGUUGGUGAGGUAAUGGCUCACCAAGGCGACGAUCCCUAGCUGGUUUGAGAGGAUGAUCAGCCACACUGGGACUGAGACACGGCCCAGACUCCUACGGGAGGCAGCAGUGGGGAAUAUUGCACAAUGGGCGCAAGCCUGAUGCAGCCAUGCCGCGUGUGUGAAGAAGGCCUUCGGGUUGUAAAGCACUUUCAGUCAGGAGGAAAGGUUAGUAGUUAAUACCUGCUAGCUGUGACGUUACUGACAGAAGAAGCACCGGCUAACUCCGUG
RNAcentral lists this ribosomal RNA (484 nucleotides) under uncultured bacterium. RNAcentral's name for it is "partial 16S ribosomal RNA". It matches the Rfam family "Bacterial small subunit ribosomal RNA", at positions 30 to 507 of the family's 1533-position model. The record is from RNAcentral.